Molecule: ribosomal RNA, 206 nt
Filed under: uncultured bacterium
Lineage: Bacteria
Description: partial 16S ribosomal RNA
Rfam family: Bacterial small subunit ribosomal RNA
Source: RNAcentral
GGAUUGUAGGCUGAAACUCGCCUACAUGAAGCUGGAGUUACUAGUAAUCGCAGAUCAGAAUGCUGCGGUGAAUGCGUUCCCGGGUCUUGUACACACCGCCCGUCACACCACGGAAGUUGGGGCGCCCGAAGCCACUUAGCUAACCCUUUUGGGAAGCGAGUGUCGAAGGUGAAAUCAAUAACUGGGUGAAGUCGUAACAAGGUACC